This 445-nucleotide ribosomal RNA is filed under the name uncultured bacterium. RNAcentral describes it as "bacterial SSU rRNA". It matches the Rfam family "Bacterial small subunit ribosomal RNA", at positions 354 to 796 of the family's 1533-position model. The record is from RNAcentral.
GUGAGGAAUAUUGGUCAAUGGACGGAAGUCUGAACCAGCCAUCCCGCGUGCAGGAAGAAGGCGCUAUGCGUUGUAAACUGCUUUUCCAGGGGAAGAAAACCUGCUACGUGUAGUGGUUUGCCGGUACCCUGGGAAUAAGCAUCGGCUAACUCCGUGCCAGCAGCCGCGGUAAUACGGAGGAUGCGAGCGUUAUCCGGAUUUAUUGGGUUUAAAGGGUGCGUAGGCGGACCGAUAAGUCAGUGGUGAAAACCUGCAGCUUAACUGUAGAACUGCCAUUGAUACUGUCGGACUUGAGUGUGGUCAAGGUAGGCGGAAUGUGUAAUGUAGCGGUGAAAUGCUUAGAUAUUACACAGAACACCGAUUGCGAAGGCAGCUUGCUGGACCAUUACUGACGCUGAUGCACGAAAGCGUGGGGAGCAAACAGGAUUAGAUACCCGAGUAGUCC